UUGACAAAUUUCUCAUUAACAAGGAUAAUUGAUAAAACUUAAACCCUAUCUAGCACCGAUUAGUCUUACCAAACACAUCUAUUCCACUUUUACUACCUUGCAAUUGUACUCACUCACACGCUUGUGGAUACGUACUGCAUGAACUCGCCAUCCAAUUCAAGCCCAUCCAUUGUUUCUGGUGCUAACACAACCUCCAGAUCAACGCUCCCGUUCCCUUCUCUCCCUGGAAAUGCUGAUAUCUUACCGUCAAACUUAUUCGCCCUACCACUCCUAAUGGCCAAAGGUCGACCCCACCCGAAAUCAUUUUCGUACAUUGGGAAUCUCGGGGAGCUACCCAUCGUGAUUGAGGCACCGUCGAAGUUCCCUAAUGGGAAUAAGCGGGGUUCUCUCUCCCAAUCCGUUAUGCCCUUCCGCACGGUACCAUCAUCGUGCGCGACAACGUUUUUGUGCAGAAGCUCAGCUCCCCAGUGCAGAUCAUGAGAGAGCAGCUCCCCUACAGGAGCGAUGGUGGGGAUGCUCUGUAUAGCGUUUCCAAAGUAGUACGGGUGGAGCCAAGGCUCGAGCCGGUGGCGGCAGUUCACAGCCAUACGAAACGUAGUCUUUUUAGAAGGGGAGAGAUUUCUUGCACGUGUGACGGAGCGCCAGAGCUGUGCGCACAAUGAUUGAAACGAUGAAAUCUCUACCGUUUUGUUCUUCAAGAAAUUCUCCGAGAUUGGCGCUAUUUUGUCGUUACUGUCUCCAUUAACGACUUUCCAACUGUCAUUGCAUUGCUUUCCCAAAAUCUCAGCGGGGUUGCAUAAGAUAUUACCAUUAUUGGCUCUGUAUUUGAGCCUAAUAAUAGCUUCUCUGCUGAAGUGGAAAAUUCUCUCGCGCAAUGGUUCGUUACCUGAAAAGGUAAGCUUUGGGCCACCAGCAGGGAAUUUAAGCACCGCCGGAGAAUUGAAAACAGUGUCACGGCUAAAAUCAGGAGAUUUUGAUAUUCUCUUAGCUCCUUUGCAGAAUUCAGCGAAGCUAUUGAAGAAAUGCCAAAAGGAAGUUCCAUCUGUAACAGCAUGAUUUACAGUACAGCCAAUGAAAACACCAUCAGCGAGCUCUGUGACCUGAACUGCGGCUAAGGGCUUAGAGUGACCAGAAUAACUGAGCAUUCUGUCAAAAGCGAAGAACUCCUUGAAGCAAUCAGGGACAUCAGAAGGAGAAAGAACGUUGUUGAUAAAAAGAUGUGUAGCUUUGGCUUGGAAGAAAUCAAUGCCUGCAUCAUUGCAAACUAUAUGGACAUGUCCAUCAGGGUCUGUGGAGAGACGGCCAGCAAGAGGAGGGAAGAAAGAAAGAGCGGUGGAAAGAGAGCGUUUGAGAAAUGUGAUGAGGUCGUCGAAAGAGUAAGGUGGAUAAGAAAGGAGGACACCCUUUUGGAUGUAUUGACAGGAGAGCAUGGGGAGAUCAGAGACAGAAAGCUUGAGGGUCUUGAGAGAGGAUUUGUGAUCAGGGUAGACAGUGCAUUUGGAAAUGAUAGUAGUAGAAGAAGAAGGCAUUUUUGUAGGCUAUGAAAAAUGAUGAGAGAGUGGAGU
This 1565-nucleotide unclassified non-coding RNA is filed under the name Hevea brasiliensis (rubber tree). Lineage: Eukaryota; Viridiplantae; Streptophyta; Magnoliopsida; Malpighiales; Euphorbiaceae. The record is from RNAcentral.